This 414-nucleotide long non-coding RNA is filed under the name Chinchilla lanigera (long-tailed chinchilla). RNAcentral describes it as "lncRNA (ENSCLAG00000026759.1)". Lineage: Eukaryota; Metazoa; Chordata; Mammalia; Rodentia; Chinchillidae. The record is from RNAcentral.
AACAGGAAAGUGCGGGGCAAAGAUUUGCAGCUGAUGAAGCUUGCGGCCAUUCUACAUGUUUCUUCACAGUUCCUCCAGACCCCUCUUCUGCUCAGGCCACAAUUAACUCCUGCUGCUCCUCCCACCACAAGCACCUUCUCUGCCCAGCUGAAGCCCCUCCCGCCUCUUCCCCAUACCUACGCUUUCUUCUACUGUUCUAGCUUUGAGAAUCCGCAGGUGGAACUGGACAGACAGCCAUUCUCACUGCGGGAAAGACUGGAAUGGAUCUUAGGAGACACAGGCAGAAGCUACGCCAUGGGAGAAUACGUGCACUCAAAUACCACUUCAUCAAAGUCUUGUCUAAAUGCUGCCUUGAAGCCUGAGGUAUCAGUGAAGAAUAAAGGCCACUGAGCUGGAUGUCCGGGCAGUGAGUGG